Molecule: transfer RNA, 56 nt
Filed under: Toxocara canis (dog roundworm)
Lineage: Eukaryota; Metazoa; Nematoda; Chromadorea; Rhabditida; Toxocaridae
Source: Rfam by way of RNAcentral
AGCUCAGUGGUACAGCUCCCACUUCCUAUGCGGGAAGACCUGGGUUCGAUUCCCGG